UACGGGGGGGGCAAGCGUUGUUCGGAAUUACUGGGCGUAAAGGGUUUGUAGGUGGCCAACUAAGUCGAACGUGAAAUCCCCGGGCUCAACCCGGGAACUGCGUCCGAUACUGGCAGGCUUGAAUCCGGGAGAGGGAUGCGGAAUUCCAGGUGUAGCGGUGAAAUGCGUAGAUAUCUGGAGGAACACCGGUGGCGAAGGCGGCAUCCUGGACCGGCAUUGACGCUGAGGCGCGAAAGCCAGGGGAGCAAACGGG
RNAcentral lists this ribosomal RNA (253 nucleotides) under uncultured bacterium. Its description in RNAcentral is "partial 16S ribosomal RNA". It matches the Rfam family "Bacterial small subunit ribosomal RNA", at positions 524 to 776 of the family's 1533-position model. The record is from RNAcentral.